RNAcentral lists this ribosomal RNA (468 nucleotides) under uncultured bacterium. RNAcentral describes it as "partial 16S ribosomal RNA". It matches the Rfam family "Bacterial small subunit ribosomal RNA", at positions 28 to 507 of the family's 1533-position model. The record is from RNAcentral.
GACGAACGCUGGCGGCGUGCUUAACACAUGCAAGUCGAACGGAAAGGCCCUGCAUUUGUGGGGUGCUAGAGUGGCAAACGGAUGAGUAACACGUGAGUAACCUGCACUUGACUUUGGGAUAACUUCAGGAAACUGGGGCUAAUACCGGAUAGGAGCUCCUGCUGCAUGGUGGGGGUUGGAAAGUUUCGGCGGUUGGGGAUGGACUCGCGGCUUAUCAGCUUGUUGGUGGGGUAGUGGCUUACCAAGGCUUUGACGGGUAGCCGGCCUGAGAGGGUGACCGGCCACAUUGGGACUGAGAUACGGCCCAGACUCCUACGGGAGGCAGCAGUGGGGAAUAUUGCACAAUGGGCGGAAGCCUGAUGCAGCAACGCCGCGUGCGGGAUGACGGCCUUCGGGUUGGUAACCGCUUUCGCCUGUGACGAAGCGUGAGUGACGGUAAUGGGUAAAGAAGCACCGGCUAACUACGUG